This 246-nucleotide ribosomal RNA is filed under the name Triticum aestivum (bread wheat). RNAcentral describes it as "partial small subunit ribosomal RNA". Lineage: Eukaryota; Viridiplantae; Streptophyta; Magnoliopsida; Poales; Poaceae. The record is from RNAcentral.
AUGAAUAUUUUAAAUUUGAACUGUCGGGGUUGCGGGCGGCCCGAGACAGUUCAAGAAAUCUGCAACUUGGUACAGUUGCAUCACCCGUGUUUUGUUUUUCUCUCGGAGACCAAACUGUCUGCUACGAGAGCGCAAGACUUGAGGUUCCGGUUGGGGUUUAGGCAUGCUUUUGGUGACAAGAGCGAGGGCCUGAGUGGUGGCCUUGUGCUGUUUUGGAACAACGAUUCAGUGGUAAGCCUGAAAUCA